UGAUUUUGGCAGCCGCGGCAGCUCCUUUAACAGCAGAGCUGCUCGUAGCUUCAACUAGUGAUGGCUGUUCAAAUUUCCGCCGCCACGGAUCAACCAACCAGAGAACUGAUCUUGGCAGCCGCGGCAGUUCCUUUUUACAGCAGAGUUGCUCGCAGCUUCAACAAUUGUUGGCUGUUCAAAUUUCCGCCACCGCGGAUCAACCAACCAUAAAUCAGAAGAAUAAGUUCUAUGAUAGACAUCCAUGAAUCUACGCCCAUCUGCAAUAUGUCUGAUUUGGAAAAUAACAUAUUUACAGAUAAUUCUAAAAUGCAGCAAAUGAGAGAAGAUUGAGAAAUGAUUUAUACAGAUAUAUAACAUACAUCAUUUGUGUACAAUCAAGCUUUAGAAUUAUAAGUAGUUUUGAAAAAAAUGUAAUGUUCUGCUAUAAUAAUUUGGGGAUAGGAAGUAGGAUUUAUUUACAAAACAUUACAAUCUGAGAAUACAGAGACUUAUGUUCUCUGUGGAGAAAAUUUUGAUUUUUUGAGAAGGCUUAUUUCCCCCCUCAAAUGAACUAUUGUAUACCUUUAGUCUUUUGUUUAUGAUGUUUCUUCCAUUGUUGUAACUUUAUGACUGAAAG
Long non-coding RNA from Notechis scutatus (mainland tiger snake), 616 nucleotides. RefSeq lists it as uncharacterized. NCBI's taxonomy places the organism in Eukaryota, Metazoa, Chordata, Lepidosauria, Squamata, Elapidae. The record is from RefSeq and is a predicted model, not a curated record.